This 429-nucleotide ribosomal RNA is filed under the name Acidobacteriota bacterium. RNAcentral describes it as "Acidobacteria bacterium partial 16S ribosomal RNA". It matches the Rfam family "Bacterial small subunit ribosomal RNA", at positions 355 to 776 of the family's 1533-position model. The record is from RNAcentral. Lineage: Bacteria; Pseudomonadati; Acidobacteriota.
UGGGGAAUUUUGGACAAUGGGGGAAACCCUGAUCCAGCCAUCCCGCGUGUGCGAUGAAGGCCUUCGGGUUGUAAAGCACUUUUGGCAGGAAAGAAACGUCAUGGGUUAAUACCCCGUGAAACUGACGGUACCUGCAGAAUAAGCACCGGCUAACUACGUGCCAGCAGCCGCGGUAAUACGUAGGGUGCAAGCGUUAAUCGGAAUUACUGGGCGUAAAGCGUGCGCAGGCGGUUCGGAAAGAAAGAUGUGAAAUCCCAGGGCUCAACUUUGGAACUGCAUUUUUAACUACCGGGCUAGAGUGUGUCAGAGGGAGGUGGAAUUCCGCGUGUAGCAGGGAAAUGCGGAGAUAUGCGGAGGAACACCGAUGGCGAAGGCAGCCUCCUGGGAUAACACUGACGCUCAUGCACGAAAGCGUGGGGAGCAAACAGG